GUAAACGCAGUGACGAAGGAAAGUAACCGUCCACAGACCGCCUCACAGAGAGGGCCCGGCCGCUGAAAAGGGCCCGGGGCGGGCGGGCGGCGAAGUUCCCUUCCGAGCGGCCCCGCUGAACGGCUUGACUCAAUAGGCGGGGACGGCAGGCCCCGUUACGGUUAAAAGAGUGUUUGCUCUAUUGGCAAAAAUCAGGGUGGUACCGCGGAAGCUGUUGACACGGCCUUCGUCCCUAUA
Molecule: non-coding RNA, 237 nt
Filed under: Clostridium sp.
Lineage: Bacteria; Bacillati; Bacillota; Clostridia; Eubacteriales; Clostridiaceae
Description: T-box sequence
Rfam family: T-box leader
About the family: Uncharged tRNA acts as the effector for transcription antitermination of genes in the T-box leader family. T-boxes are found upstream of many aminoacyl-tRNA synthetase genes and some amino acid biosynthetic genes usually in Gram-positive bacteria.
Source: RNAcentral